GAUCCGCUAUCACAUCUACUUUGCCAUGCUGUGGCACUAUAGCUUAGUGCAUUCAAUAGAAAUUAGAAAUGAACAUGCUUUGAAAAAUUUAGAUUGGAAAAGAGAUUUAAAUUUCUUAUCAUGUUAAUGGCACUAGUAUGCUUUAUAUAAAAGUUGAGCCUUUUGGCUUUAGGAAUCAAAUAUGGUAGAAUACAACAAUAAAAUUUCAUGAUUAUGAGAAAAAUACUAG
Molecule: long non-coding RNA, 229 nt
Filed under: Elaeis guineensis (African oil palm)
Lineage: Eukaryota; Viridiplantae; Streptophyta; Magnoliopsida; Arecales; Arecaceae
Description: long non-coding RNA (EGUI_LNC032653)
Source: RNAcentral